GACAGAACGAGGGUAACAGAUACUGUGCAGCAGAGCCUUCCCUGACACAGUUACAGCAGCCUGAAGGCGACGGUCAGGACAACUUUGUAAGAAGACCUGCAAGUUUAGCACCUCUGGGAGACAUGAAAGUGCUAGACAGGCUUCUCACAAACAGGAAGACCCGCAGUUUGGUGGCGCACGAAACACUCCGGACCCCUGCAGCAGUGCACUUUGUCUUGCUUGUUUACAGCAUAACAGCCACAGUCGACAGCACUUUUUCUCAAGGAAGCGUGGUUUUUGCUGAGCUGCAUGGGUUUGCGAUGUUGACCGCAGACUAUCCUGCAGAGGAAAGCAACCCUAUCCGUGAAAUGGAGUGGAAGAAGAAAAUCAAAGAAAGCACAGAUAAACUCCUCUUGAUGCAUAAAAUGCCAGAUGAAACAAAAAAUUUUGGCUGCGACAACAGAUGCAGUUUCACGAAUCAAACCCUGAUCCUGCAUAACGUAACGGAGGAAGACGAGGGUGUCUAUGAAAUAUCUCUGCUUCUGGCAAAUUCAUCCAUGAUAAUCAAAAAUAUAACGUUAAUAACAUAUCUCCCGCCACAUAUCAGCAUCUCCUCUGAUAACUCCACUGACUCGGGGCUCAAAUUCAGGUGUCAGCUCGGGCCGGGUGCGCUGCGGUCCUACACGUGGCUCAAGGACGGCCAGGCCCUCCCGCAGGACGGGAGACACUCGCUGAGCGAGGGCAACGCGACCUUACUGGUGAGGAACCUGAGCAGCGAGGACUGCGGUAACUACAGCUGCGAGGCCCACAGUGGGGCGUCCAGAAGACAGGCCCACAUUCAGCUUUCUGUUUCAGUUUUGGGGCCAAAUCUAACAUACAGAGAGUCUCUAUUACGAGACAUUAUAAAACUGUGUCCUGCCAGUACCAAAACGUCCAGUGAUUCACCUUCACAGAGUGGAAUAAUGGAAUAUAUGCUUGCAAACCCAACCAUCUUUGGCAUCACGGUUGUCUCUGCAGCCACUGCUUCUAUCUUCACUGUUGCAUUUUUCAUAAUGAAACUCCGAAAGAGGCAGAGGAGUACAGGAAACAGCAACACCAUCUACCAAGAUAAUCACAUCUAUGAGGAUAUUACAGACAUACAGUUUCGACUCACGACGCCGGAGGCACCAUCGUUGCUGUGCGUCUACAAAGACUAUAUACCCAAUCAACAGCAAAGUGAAACCAUCUACUCCUGCGCUGGCCCACCCUCGACUGAGAUGGCAGAUCCAAGGAAGGCGUCUACACAGACUGAUCUUCAGAAGUAUGACAAACCCAGAGUCCAGGACCGCAGUGACCGAUGAGUCCAGUGAGAUCACGUGCUCAUCGGACUUGCAGCGAAUAAAAGUUGCUUGAACACAUGAGCCCGAACA
This 1388-nucleotide long non-coding RNA is filed under the name Scleropages formosus (Asian bonytongue). RNAcentral describes it as "lncRNA (ENSSFOG00015030451.1)". The record is from RNAcentral. Lineage: Eukaryota; Metazoa; Chordata; Actinopteri; Osteoglossiformes; Osteoglossidae.